Molecule: ribosomal RNA, 165 nt
Filed under: uncultured Bacteroidota bacterium
Lineage: Bacteria; Pseudomonadati; Bacteroidota
Description: uncultured Bacteroidetes bacterium partial 16S ribosomal RNA
Rfam family: Bacterial small subunit ribosomal RNA
Source: RNAcentral
UUGGACAAUGGGUGGAAGCCUGAUCCAGCCUCCCGCGUGUAGGAUGACGGCCUUAUGGGUUGUAAACUACUUUUAUCUAGGGGAUAAACCUACUUACGUGUAAGUAGCUGAAGGUACCAGAAGAAUAAGCACCGGCUAACUCCGUGCCAGCAGCCGCGGUAAUAU